RNAcentral lists this ribosomal RNA (466 nucleotides) under Streptococcus mutans. Its description in RNAcentral is "bacterial SSU rRNA". It matches the Rfam family "Bacterial small subunit ribosomal RNA", at positions 28 to 469 of the family's 1533-position model. Lineage: Bacteria; Bacillati; Bacillota; Bacilli; Lactobacillales; Streptococcaceae. The record is from RNAcentral.
GACGAACGCUGGCGGCGUGCCUAAUACAUGCAAGUGGGACGCAAGAGAACACACUGUGCUUGCACACCGUGUUUUCUUGAGUCGCGAACGGGUGAGUAACGCGUAGGUAACCUUCCUAUUAGCGGGGGAUAACUAUUGGAAACGAUAGCUAAUACCGCAUAAUAUUAAUUAUUGCAUGAUAAUUGAUUGAAAGAUGCAAGCGCAUCACUAGUAGAUGGACCUGCGUUGUAUUAGCUAGUUGGUAAGGUAAGAGCUUACCAAGGCGACGAUACAUAGCCGACCUGAGAGGGUGAUCGGCCACACUGGGACUGAGGCACGGCCCAGACUCCUACGGGAGGCAGCAGUAGGGAAUCUUCGGCAAUGGACGAAAGUCUGACCGAGCAACGCCGCGUGAGUGAAGAAGGUUUUCGGAUCGUAAAGCUCUGUUGUAAGUCAAGAACGUGUGUGAGAUGUGGAAAGUUCACAG